RNAcentral lists this unclassified non-coding RNA (319 nucleotides) under uncultured fungus. RNAcentral's name for it is "partial contains small subunit ribosomal RNA, internal transcribed spacer 1, and 5.8S ribosomal RNA". The stretch from base 1 to 73 matches the Rfam family "Eukaryotic small subunit ribosomal RNA", at positions 1759 to 1831 of the family's 1831-position model. Lineage: Eukaryota; Fungi. The record is from RNAcentral.
GCAAACUUGGUCAUUUAGAGGAAGUAAAAGUCGUAACAAGGUUUCCGUAGGUGAACCUGCGGAAGGAUCAUUAAUGAGAGAUUACCAGCCUCUUUUAAAAAAAAAUAAAUAAAAAAUUAAAAGGGGAGUGGACCUCAUUAGUCCUUUGCAGGCCCUAUUUAGGGGCUCUUUUGACUUUCUGCUUCGGUGGGGUUAUCCCACCGGAACAACUUCAAAACUCUGAUCAAAAAAAUCGUUCUGUCCGAGUAACCUUUUAUAAUAUGAAAAAAAAACUUUCAACAACGGAUCUCUUGGUUCUGGCAUCGAUGAAGAACGCAGC